UGGGGAAUUUUGCACAAUGGGGGGAACUCUGAUGCAGCGACGCCGCGUGAGUGAUGAAGGAAUUCGUUUCGUAAAACUCUGUUCUAUGGGAAGAAAAGGACUGUACCAUAGGAGAAAGCUCCGGCUAAAUACGUGCCAGCAGCCGCGGUAAUACGUAUGGAGCGAGCGUUGUCCGGAAUUAUUGGGCGUAAAGGGUGCGCAGGCGGCUUUACAAGUUGGAUGUGAAAUAUUGUGGCUCAACCACAAACGUGCAUCCAAAACUGCAAAGCUUGAGUUAAGGAGAGGUAAGUGGAAUUCCUGGUGUAGCGGUGGAAUGCGUAGAUAUCAGGAGGAAUACCGGUGGCGAAGGCGACUUACUGGACUUAAACUGACGCUCAGGCACGAAAGCGUGGGGAGCAAACAGG
RNAcentral lists this ribosomal RNA (404 nucleotides) under Fusobacteriota bacterium. RNAcentral describes it as "Fusobacteria bacterium partial 16S ribosomal RNA". It matches the Rfam family "Bacterial small subunit ribosomal RNA", at positions 355 to 776 of the family's 1533-position model. The record is from RNAcentral. Lineage: Bacteria; Fusobacteriati; Fusobacteriota.